UCUGGCAAGUCACGACAAUGGCCACUACCCUGCUCCACUCUCUGCAACGGAUUCCGCGUGGCUCCACUACUCUCUGGCAAGUCACGAUAAUGGCCAUUAUCCUGCUCCACUUUCUGUAAUGGAUCCCGCGUGGCUCCACUACUCUCUGACAAGUCGCGACAACGGACACCACUCUACUCUCCAUAACAAACUCCACGUGGUCCUGAACGACCUCUGACGCCACUACUCUCCGUAACAAACUCCGGACGGCUCUGAACAGCUCACUACUAGGCAGUUACAGACAUCGCUGUCAAUUAGUUACGCAC
Molecule: long non-coding RNA, 305 nt
Filed under: Elaeis guineensis (African oil palm)
Lineage: Eukaryota; Viridiplantae; Streptophyta; Magnoliopsida; Arecales; Arecaceae
Description: long non-coding RNA (EGUI_LNC003919)
Source: RNAcentral